UUUCAUUUCAAAUUUCAAAUCCAGAGCCCUUUUUCAUUUUCGUUUUCUCUCUCCCUCAAAGAUCUGGAUCUGCUCUUCCUUCCUUCUCUCUCUCUUUCAAAUUCCCCCUGGAUCUGCAGGUUCUUCCCUUCUCUGGUUCCAGAGAUGUCGAUGGUGGUGUCACGGAAGAGGUUCGCAACAGAACAACUUUGGUGGAACCCUUGAAGAUCGACGAUGACGGUGGCGGUUAGGGUUCUGGUCGUGAAAUUGAAUUUCAUCUUUGAUGUUCAUCAUUAGAUUUGCUCUUUGCUUUGGAGAUACUAUUCAACGAGAUAGUAAGCCUUCAAUUUCAUAUUCCUUUGUCAAUUUCAUGAUUUAUUUCAUUUAAUGAGGAUGGAUCUUCGUUUUUUGUUGGUCAUGGUUUAAAGAACAUGAAAUGGUUUGAGAAGAGUUCAAGAUCAAGCUAUUGUUUUGUAGUAUGAAGGUGUGCAUCUUCCACAGAGGUACAUCCUUCAGUUUGUGUCAGCAAACCCAUGAGAUGGUGGGAAAAUACACAUGCUUGAGAUCAAUUAAGCACAAGAUUACGUAGACUUAUGAAAUUCAUGGGAUAAAAUCCCAUCUUUUUUUCUAUUCACCUGGUUGUGGUGGUUGUAAAGCUCUACACCCAAAGAUCUGUCAACUGGCUAAGUCAAGCUCUAAAGCAAUUUUCCUCCAAGUGAACUAUGAAGAACUCAAACCCAUGUGUCAAUCUCUCCAUAUUCAUGUUCUGUCUUUUCUCAGAUUCCACAAAGGUCAUGAGGCCAAGAUCUAUAUGCGAUAAGAGUCAUGUGAUUUUUUAUUAUGCCAAACACCCUCUAGCAAAGUGAACUAGAGACUCAUAAAGAAAAGGAAACUAUAGAUAUGUAAGUGGGGCUGAUGAGAAAAUCUCUAUGCUUUAUUAAAGCCCCAUUGUCUUUUCAAAAAAACAUUACAUCAUGAUGAUCUGCAAGUUGACGUUUAGGUUUUGGCUACAAAUAUGUCUGCUCUUUGUCUAUCUCAGAAACCCAUUUAUGUUCAAGCCGUGAGUGAGAUGAGAGACAGAAGUGGCAAUGAAGGCUUAGACUAGGGGUGAGCAUAAGGCCGAGUCUCUGCUAUGUAAGCAGGCCAUAAUCACUUGCGUAAAUAUGACAACACUAUUGAGGCCUUAGCAAUCCUUCUACACUUCAUGAGACUGUUGUGGAAGUGCCCAAUGUAAGAUGGGAAGACAUUGGUGGCCUCGAGAAUGCUAAACGAGAGCUACAAGAGGGACCGACUCUCAUUUCCGGUUGUUAGUGCACAUUCAAAGAGAAUCUAAUGCUAGACAUUUCGAGGAUUACUCAAUAAACAAGUCCCUUCAUGCCAAAGACUUGAAGUGAUAAAAGAUUGCGGUUUUGCAUCUGGAGAAGAGACCAAACGCUGAGUUGGAUAAAGAGCAAUAUAGAACUAACGGUUGCUACAAAUGGUGGGAACAAGGUUUGGUGACAUGUCCAUUUGUUAUCAGAUUAUUCAUAAACAUCACCAAUUAGAUGCUUGGAGUAAUGUCAUGCAUACAAAAUAUAAUAGUGAAGACAUUGAGGAGGGCAAGAAUUUGGGUUGACCAGAUUACUGUUGAUUGCAGAUGCUUGGAGAAUAAAAAUACCUUAUUUAUGUAAAUAGUAAUGUCAUGCAUAGAAAAUAUAUAUAGUGUUAUUGAUGAAGCACAAAGAAUGUAGGAUAAAGUUGAUUAACAAAAUGUGUAGUAUGAAGAAAUAUUUAGUCAUUUGCGAA
Long non-coding RNA from Helianthus annuus (common sunflower), 1764 nucleotides. RefSeq lists it as uncharacterized. NCBI's taxonomy places the organism in Eukaryota, Viridiplantae, Streptophyta, Magnoliopsida, Asterales, Asteraceae. The record is from RefSeq and is a predicted model, not a curated record. The transcript has 12 exons.